RNAcentral lists this long non-coding RNA (401 nucleotides) under Lathyrus oleraceus (garden pea). Its description in RNAcentral is "Pisum sativum (pea) long non-coding RNA (PSAT_LNC035643)". The record is from RNAcentral. Lineage: Eukaryota; Viridiplantae; Streptophyta; Magnoliopsida; Fabales; Fabaceae.
UCUAUUCUGUUUUUUUUUAUGUUUUAUCAUAGCCAUGCAUUAUUCAUCCUAUCCUAUUUAUUGUUGUGAUAUUUCUCCGGUGUAAUCUUCGAUUGCACCCUGAUUUGGUGUUCUGACAUGUUUCUUUUUUUUUGAGUUUCGUAAAGGUUCACAUAUCCCAGGAAAAGGUUAUUGGCUAGGUAUUCCACUUUAUUUGUGGGAUACCCUUGUGGAGUUUCACCCUAAAUUAAUUUUUUUAAUGUAUUAAUUUCUAAUGUAUAAUUUUUUAAUAUAUUAUUUUUAAUAAUUUUAAUGUGGAGUUUCAUCCUAAUUAUAUAAUUAAUUGUAAAACUUUGCCUUUGAAUAAGUGAUCUUGGACCUCUCUUUGUUGCCUUACGAUUACGAUAUUACGGUCAUGUCCC